This 235-nucleotide ribosomal RNA is filed under the name uncultured bacterium. RNAcentral describes it as "partial 16S ribosomal RNA". It matches the Rfam family "Bacterial small subunit ribosomal RNA", at positions 96 to 334 of the family's 1533-position model. The record is from RNAcentral.
UGGCGGACGGGUGAGUAAUGUCUGGGGAACUGCCUGAUGGAGGGGGAUAACUACUGGAAACGGUAGCUAAUACCGCAUAACGUCGCAAGACCAAAGAGGGGGACCUUAGGGCCUCUUGCCAUCGGAUGUGCCCAGAUGGGAUUAGCUAGUAGGUGGGGUAACGGCUCACCUAGGCGACGAUCCCUAGCUGGUCUGAGAGGAUGACCAGCCACACUGGAACUGAGACACGGUCCAG